Fukomys damarensis (Damara mole-rat) is the source of this 4730-nucleotide RNA transcript. RefSeq lists it as uncharacterized. The record is from RefSeq and is a predicted model, not a curated record. The transcript has 5 exons. Lineage: Eukaryota; Metazoa; Chordata; Mammalia; Rodentia; Bathyergidae.
UUGUCUGCAACAGAUACAAAGGAACACAGAGCCAAAUGGUACGGCGUUACAGAAUCUUUGGGCUAUUGUCCGAUCCCUGAUGCCUGAGUCCCCGGAAGCAUUCUUUGGUUGAGUACCUCUGGCGAUGGAGGACACACUACUCCCAAAGCCAUCCUUCCACCUGCGGUGUGUUAACCACCACAAACCGUGCCACGCCUGUCAGUUUGUACUUCACACGGACCUAAAUCUGCCUCCCUGGGACUUGCACCUGUUCGUCCACAUUUCAUCUCAAUUCUGUCCUUCCAGGUGGCAAGGUUUUACUCCUUAACGGUAAGCUGCGCGCGCUCCCCUUCAGCUCUGGGACCAGCUCUGCAAGGCGUUCUCCUCGUAGAUGAAGCAAUGAAGGUUCAUCAAGGCAAAAUGAUUCCAGAGCCAGGAUCCAAACCCAGAUCUUUGUGGCUUUGAGUUUAUUCUCCUCUUUUUUAGGGGCUAAGCAGGUACCCAUAUUAGUAAAACUGAGGUGUCUGAAAUCCUAGGGAAUGGUGGCGCUUUGGGAAAACUGAAAAUGUUCACCAGAAGAUACUCGGAUUUCAAAGUUAAAUAAGCAAAACCUCCUGGAGUCAUCUGGCACCCACGUACCAGCUUAUUAUUUUCACCACUUUCCAGAAUUGCAGACGCAGAUUCCCACUCUUCUCGCCCUGAUGAUUGUGAGUAGCACACAACUAUGGAGGCACACACAGCAGACCCUGUUUUCAUCUGCUGAUCUCCAGCAGCACGCUGGCCAGACUGCGACGGCCGCAGGAGGCGGUGCGGUGCCCACUGGGGUGGUUUGUAUGGACCUUCGUGUUCAUGGCGCCCCUGGAGGCCAGCGAUGUAGUUAUGGGGUGUGGGAAGCGGCAGCAAUCUGCAGGGGAGGCUCGAGGUAGGGCUGUCCUGGCAAAAUGCGAGCACACAGGUCCCCGGGGUGGUCUGUUGUGUGCCAGGGCUGAGAUCACCACUGGAGGGAUUGAGAUGGAAAACAGAGCGGUCCCCGGUCACGUGACUCCAGCUUCUGCUCCUGGCCUUUGCACGUGCUGUUUUCUCUGCCCGGAAGUCUCUUGUUUCCUCACAUCCGUUCCUUCCUCCGUGGUCCCCAUCACCCUGUGGGCAGGUCAGCCAUCCUCACAGCAUGGAAUCCAGAAGCCUUUCUGGCAUCCUGGGCUUUUCGGUCACUUCCUGUGUACGGUCUCUCAGCCCCGGAGUGCAGAUUUGACUGCCUCCCACUGCCACAACCACGGGCAGCCUCCUCUCUGCCCUCUGGGCCACAGCCACCUAACAUCAGGGAGCCGCUGUACUUGCGCCCAGGCUCUGCUGCCUCCCUGCACUCACCGGUCUCCCCCUAAAUCACAAGGCUCUCUGCAGCUCAGCUCAGCACCGGCCCUAGGGCGCCUCCCUGGGUGCCCAGGCUGGACCCGGCUCCUCUCCAAAGCCUGUCCUCAGUGCCGGGCGCCAUCCCAUCACACUGGCUGUCUGCUAGAUCCCGGGACACAAGUGACCCCCGGGAGGCUGGGCCUCGUUCACCACGGCUGCUGUGCGAGGUGCGGCCGCUGGGAGGUGGGCAAAACAGCUGCGGCCCAGGCGCUCGCGGUGCCCACCGCCAGGGGGCAACGGACUCAGCGCCUUCAGGCACCGUUUCAGAUGAACGUCAGGGAACUUCUCACGCAGCCAGCUCUCUCCCUGGUGACAGAGAGGGGCCUGGGGCCGAGCAUGGAGCCCACACCGCAGCCCCUGCCUCCUCCUCUUCGCUCCCCAGGCCCUGCCCUCCUCCCACUGCUCGGCAGCGAGGUGACAGUGUGGGUGGCUGCUGGCAGGGCUGUGUCCAUGGAAACCGAGCGCUGUGGAGGAGCGGAGUCAGGUGCCUCCUGACCCGCGCUGCAGGUCCGCUCUACCCGGGUCUGGUCCUGGCCCACCAGUGACUUCUCUCCUCCUUUCGUCUCCACAUGGGGGCUCUCAGAAGUUGUGUUGCCCCCCACCUUCAGAGACAUCCAGUAUCCGGCACUGAAGUCUCUCCACCCACGGUUUCUGCUGUGGCCCAGCCCUGAUCACCUGUACCCUGUGUGGCCACAGUGGGCAUCUGGCUGGCUUUCCUGCUUCUGCUCCUCUCUUGGUCUGUCAUCUCCUCCUCUGCUGACAUCUUGGGAUCUCCCAGAACAGAAACCACGAUCCACGUAAUGUCCUACAGUCCAAAGGCAGAUACCAGGAUAUGACUCUGUUUCUCUCUAAUUGCCGUCUGCUGACUUCAAAUGUACUCAUGAAACCUGCCCGCUCCUUCUUACCAAUGCAAUCCAGAAUCCAGCCGACCGUGCCAUCUCCUCCGCAGGCCAGCACCCGGAAGUCUGGAGUAUCACGGAAAAAGUUCAGGCUGCAAAGAGAAGGAAGGCCACCGUGGCCUCGUUACUGGGCCGUGGCUGACAUCAGAUGCACGCUGAGUCAGUCUCCCUGCUCCCCAGGGGGUAAGACCUUGACUCUUUGGGGAGUUGAGAAGGUCACUUAAUGUUCUGAAUCCAGAAGUCACUAUGUGUGCCACAGAGUGUGAGAAAAGUCCCAGGAAGCCAACCCUGUCUUUGACCCCCUUCAGGUUCUCCUGACUGCUGUCUGUGCCACUUCUCCUGUGCACAGGAUUCACGGAAGUAGCUGGGUCCUCACUUCACUCUUCUGUGGGCACAGAGCUAAGUGGGGCCUGCAUCCUGCUGCCCCCAGGAGCCGGAGCCCUUUGGACUGGGCUCUCUACCUGGGUGCCAUCAACUUCCAGGGGACUUGUGCGUAGAAUUCAGAGGGCCAUGAACUCAAGGGAGAAAAAUUACAUUCAUGUGUUCCUUAAGCAUCUGCUGAAGUCUAGGAUUUCCUUCACACUCUGAGUGUGGGCAACAAAUCACAGAGCUAUGAACCGUCCUGUGACUUCCUCAGCAGUUAAAAUCACAGUGAACUCCCUGUCUGAUCACAGACGGACAAGCACAUCAGAGACACUCAGGAUCCACCCGCCCCGGAAGCCAGGACCAGUUUGUCAGACACAGUAAUGACAAUUUAGGAUAAAGCUGAACUAGAGGACUGCGUGGUUUGUAAUGCCACUGCUAUAAAUAGCAGAAUUGUGUCAGACAGCUGAAGACGAGGAGGACAGAUUCUGUUUUUAGAAUUCUUACUAAACCGGCCCCUGGGGAAUCCAGAAGACAAACGACCCUUAAGAGGGGAUUAAAUUUCGUCCACACGCGGGGAGAGCACAGGCCGAGACUGACCAGCAGAUGGCGCUACAGCAGACUCCGCCAACCUAGUCUUCCGCGCCUCCCACCUUUGCUGGAGGGACGUCGCAUUACAGGGACGCUCUCUCCUCUGAGGGACCAUGAAGACAGCAGCUCACACAGCUUUGCCAAGAAGACCAAAUAAGUCACCAGCCCCCCACAAUCAAAUACAUAGUAUAUGCAGUUUUCCCUUCUCACAAAAUCAACAAGUUUUUGAGUGGACAAGGUACAGGGGCCACUCCUCAAUCAGCUGUGAGGAUGUGUUCCCCAGCAUCUCCAGAAGGAGUCAGCGUGGGAUGUGAGACAGAGGAGAGCAAGGGUGUCAGAUGGCUGGGGAAAUGAGUCCAGAGAUGAGACUCUCUUCAGAGACUAAAGAGGAGAGGGAGGAGGAGGAGGAGGAUCAUACCCUGGAGUAGGUCCCCCAUUGUCCAAGUUGAAAACCUGUUUGGGGUUGAGCAGGUAGUGGAAUUUCCGAAGAAUUCUAUGGGCAGAAAGGAAGGGAAAGUGAAGUCACAUGAGGGCAAACACUUUUCCGCAUUUCCCCAGCGCUGGGACAGUGCAUUCGUGAAACCGAGAGAGGAGACCUGUACGCAGAUUCUGAUAUCCUCAGCCCCUGCUCAUCUAAGACUGUGGCCCCCACCCUAGAAGCCACAUCCCUGCAGGGGACGGGGUAGAGAAGCCCAGAGGACAGGCGCUUCUUGCACAGACACCUGGUGCCCAACGCCAUUGUGGUCUGUGCCAUGGGAUCCUGCCUCUCGUGCACUGUCCCAAGGCUUCGGAGAACUGCGGAGAGGACCCUGCAUCCCAGCUCCUAGGGCGAAUGCAGGGGAGGCAGGCCUGGGGCUGAGAAGCAACGGCCGCCUCUGGGCUCCAGCGCAGGAGGGGUGUCCUGCCCCCUGGACUCAGGUAGUUCUUACUUUAUCCUUAUUUCUUCUUUGUUUUAAAGGCAGGAUUUUAGAUGAGCAAAUGUGUCAUCGGCUUGUUACUCUGGGACAGACUUGGGAGGCAGGAUUGCUUUGGCCCUUUUGUCCCUCUCUCCUCACUCUGCUUAGUGGUCUCUAUAGCUUCUUCACGGAUGAGGUGGGUGUUCCACCUGCUUGGGAUUGGGGACGGGCCAGGAGGUCCCAAGCAGUGAGUACCAUCACGCCUCUUAAACCAAGGCAUUGGAGGCUAAGAAGGAACCAGCUUCUCGGAAGUCCCCCGGAGCCUUGGCAGUGGCUCAUGUGACAGUCCCUGGGCUAAUUCUAAUUCUUAAAAUAAAAUGAGCAGAAACAUUAUCUCAUUUUACAAAGAAAGAAAUGGAGGCACGAGGUCAUUAAGCUACUUGGGCUGGGUGGUGCUAGGAUGGGAGCCCGGGUCUCCAUCUCCAUAGUUACAGAGUUCACUCUCUGUGGUCCAGGGGUACGAGGGGUCUGGGUCCCUCUGCUGUGUAAAGGAAGAGAACAUACCUUUCUCCUUGUCUCCCUCCGCUCUUCG